AAAGGAUGAUCGCUGGGCUUCUCUACAUCUAUCAAGGGCCAAGUAUACGAUGACAGUUCAUCAUUUAAAAGCCCAUUCGCCACCCACAUAAUACAGGCCCAACUCAUCAGUCAGAGCAACUUAGCCUACUACUUUACCAUCCCUAUGGUAAAUGCCGUGGAAACAGAGGGGCAAGUCAUGAAAAGACUCAAAAGUACAAGCAAAUGGGAGCAUGAUAAAGGUCAGACUUACGCAUCACUUAAAAAGUUAUAAGAUUUGAUUUAUCGCUACUAAACAAAGGGUGGGAGAUCGGAAAGAGGCGCCAAAAGCACCUCGGAGUCAUA
This 323-nucleotide long non-coding RNA is filed under the name Manihot esculenta (cassava). Its description in RNAcentral is "long non-coding RNA (MESC_LNC003971)". Lineage: Eukaryota; Viridiplantae; Streptophyta; Magnoliopsida; Malpighiales; Euphorbiaceae. The record is from RNAcentral.